This 232-nucleotide long non-coding RNA is filed under the name Malus domestica (apple). RNAcentral describes it as "long non-coding RNA (MDOM_LNC011726)". The record is from RNAcentral. Lineage: Eukaryota; Viridiplantae; Streptophyta; Magnoliopsida; Rosales; Rosaceae.
UUUUCAUUUAAAAUUGUGAGUUAUAACCCACCUUUUCAAAUCAAUUUUAGAAAUUUAAUGAGAUUAAUCAUAAACCAAAAUUCAAGUCAUUCUCCCACACCACAUGUUUCCUAAAAUUAAUUUAGCACAUUCUGACGAAUUUCGGCAUAUGAAAAAAAUGUUUAGGGGCCAAUUAUUAGUUUAUAUUACUUUUUCUAUCUUUUUUUCAAAUUUCAAAAUUCAUAAAAAAAAA